CGCACGAGGCAUACUUCAGGUCUCUUCAUGCUCGGAAAACUCGAGCUAUUUAUUCUAGUCUACAAAAGCUGGAAACCACAACUGAUUACUGCCUUCAUCUGCCUUCUGGAUGUCAGAGUAGGGAGAUGAACAAAUGCUAUUUGUCCGAUAAGGAGCGGGAUGCAACACAAAUGUAUGUUUUGUUGAAUUGUGAGGAGGUUCAACAAUUCGUCCUGGAUCCGCGUCCGAGGUUCUUUCCGGAGUGGAGGAUUUAUGGAUCAGGUCCGAUGAGUAUCCGUAACGGGUGGUACAUGGACACCAUGGGUACUCUGCAGGUCAUGACUACUGAGCAAUGACAUCAGAUAGCAUGUGUGCACAAUUGUGAUACGGAGACUGCUACCCGCCCUCACAUCUAGCGUGGAGGACAUUUACUGAUAGAUUUAGGGUGAGCUUAUCCCAUGCCACGCCCCCCGAAGAUCUUCUCUUAUGAUGUCUUUUCUCAUUUUGGACAUUAUGGAUUUAUUAGUCAGAUUUCAUUCAAUAGCUAUGUUUUAGAUUAGAGUCAUAUACGAUGGCUUUCGGAUUUUAGGGAUUUUGUAAUAGUUAGAACUUCCGCACUUAUUUCAG
Long non-coding RNA from Lycium barbarum (goji berry), 606 nucleotides. RefSeq lists it as uncharacterized. Lineage: Eukaryota; Viridiplantae; Streptophyta; Magnoliopsida; Solanales; Solanaceae. The transcript has 3 exons. The record is from RefSeq and is a predicted model, not a curated record.